This 497-nucleotide ribosomal RNA is filed under the name uncultured bacterium. RNAcentral's name for it is "partial 16S ribosomal RNA". It matches the Rfam family "Bacterial small subunit ribosomal RNA", at positions 28 to 507 of the family's 1533-position model. The record is from RNAcentral.
GAUGAACGCUGGCGGCGUGCCUAAUACAUGCAAGUCGAGCGAACAGACGAGGAUCUUUCUCCUCUGACGUUAGCGGCUGACGUGUGAGUAACACGUUGAUAACCUACCUAUAUUACUUGUAUAACUUCGGGAAACCUGAUCUAAUACCGGAUAAUAUAUUUAACCUCAUUGUUCAUUAGUUAAAUACGGUUUUUCUUUCUCUUUUAGAUGGUUCCGCGCCGCAUUAGCUAGUUGGUAAGGUAACGGCUUACCAAGGCAACGAUGCGUAGCCGAACUGGGAGGGAGAGAGGCAAAACGGGAAGUGAGACACGGACAAGAGGACUAAGGGAGGCAGCAGAAGGGAAUAUGCCGCAAUGGGCGAAAGCAUGACGGAGAAAAGGCGCGUGAGAGAUGAAGGACUAAGGAUAGUAAAAAAAUGUUAGUAGGGAAGAAAAAAUGUGAAAGAAAAUAUGAACGUAUUGACGGUAACAAAAAAGAAAGCAACGGCUAACUACGUG